This 456-nucleotide ribosomal RNA is filed under the name uncultured bacterium. RNAcentral describes it as "bacterial SSU rRNA". It matches the Rfam family "Bacterial small subunit ribosomal RNA", at positions 923 to 1379 of the family's 1533-position model. The record is from RNAcentral.
GCACAAGCGGUGGAGCAUGUGGUUUAAUUCGACGCAACGCGAAGAACCUUACCUGGGCUCGAAAUGUACAGGAAUCCGGUGGAAACAUCGGCGCCCAGCAAUGGGCCUGUAUAUAGGUGCUGCAUGGCUGUCGUCAGCUCGUGUCGUGAGAUGUUGGGUUAAGUCCCGCAACGAGCGCAACCCUUACCUCCAGUUGCUACCAUUUAGUUGAGCACUCUGGCGGAACCGCCUCGGAUAACGGGGAGGAAGGUGGGGAUGACGUCAAGUCCUCAUGGCCUUUAUGUCCAGGGCUACACACGUGCUACAAUGGCCGGUACAAACCGCUGCAAACCCGCGAGGGGGAGCUAAUCGGAAAAAGCCGGCCUCAGUUCGGAUUGGAGUCUGCAACUCGACUCCAUGAAGCUGGAAUCGCUAGUAAUCGCGGAUCAGAACGCCGCGGUGAAUACGUUCCCGGGC